Long non-coding RNA from Saccostrea echinata, 475 nucleotides. RefSeq lists it as uncharacterized. NCBI's taxonomy places the organism in Eukaryota, Metazoa, Mollusca, Bivalvia, Ostreida, Ostreidae. The record is from RefSeq and is a predicted model, not a curated record. The transcript has 3 exons.
UUAAAACAUUACCUGGUAGUUUUAUCAUAUAAAUGUAUACACUUUCAUGUACUUUGGUUAAUGAUUUGGGGGUCUGCAUCAAGCAGAAAUGGAUUAUAUAUAUUAUAUCAAUUAUUUUUUUUAUAUAAAUUAAAAAUUUGCAGAGAGAAUGUCAAUUGGCUUAAAGAAAGAUUUAGCAUCAACCCCUGGAUUUCUUUUAAGGGUACAGAAGUACAGGAGAUGCUCAGCAAUCUGGCAAAGAAGGCUGGCUGGACAUGAAAUGUUAUGGGGGUUAUGUCUACAUGUAGCUUUGGAUCCACAUAUUACAGAAAUCGCAUCAGAGCAAAGCUGAUGGGUAACAAAGAAGUUGAUGUAGAGGGUCCCUCCAUUAAGUCUCUACAUAAUUAUCGAUGAAAAUGUUUCCUUCCUUCUACAAUUAUGCUAACAAAUCCAGAGAGGGAAUACUUCACACUGAUGCUAGUAUGAUGCUAGUAUG